RNAcentral lists this small nucleolar RNA (93 nucleotides) under Pogona vitticeps (central bearded dragon). RNAcentral's name for it is "Small nucleolar RNA SNORD14 (ENSPVIG00000011628.1)". It matches the Rfam family "Small nucleolar RNA SNORD14". Rfam says of the family: U14 small nucleolar RNA (U14 snoRNA) is required for early cleavages of eukaryotic precursor rRNAs. In yeasts, this molecule possess a stem-loop region (known as the Y-domain) which is essential for function. Lineage: Eukaryota; Metazoa; Chordata; Lepidosauria; Squamata; Agamidae. The record is from Rfam by way of RNAcentral.
UCACUGUGAUGAUGGCAUUCCAAACAUUCGCAGUUUCCACCAGAAAGGUUUUUACCUUAGUGUUGGCCAGUCCUUCCUUGGAUGUCUGAGUGA